CUCAGGGAAGAGCAUCAGGAGCAGGAGUUAAGGAAGUUUUCCUGCUGUGUGGAAGCUUCUAGAAACCUGUGACUUACAGAAAGCUGUUCUCUAAUUCCACCCUGGAUAUCUUAGGCAUACAACACUUCUAGCCUUUGCAGGAGGAGACCACUGAAACUUAAUGGAGAUACAGACCACACAUCCAAAGGGUCUUCUCUGUAACGAGUUAUUAACUACAAAGAGGAUAAUAAAAGCAUCCAACAAAGGAAUCUAAGGACCACUGGACAAAUGAGACACUAGAAAAAGAAGGACGAAUCAUGAAGAAAAAAUGUCACAAGAAAAAGAGUAAAUUGGCCAUGUGGUACAGCACACUUCCAAAAGGAUAAAAUCUCAUAAAUCUUCCCAAAUGUUUGUUUCUACUGCUCUCUAUAGAAAUAUAAAGCAAAUUGCCUUUUUGUGGUCCCAAUUCAAUUAAAAAUCAAAGCUGGCUUUGGAGUUGGAAUGUGGUUCUAUCCUUCUUUAAAACCAAGCAUGCUUGUUCAAAGAACAUCCAAAAUCUCUGUCUCAUGUCAGAAGAGCCACCUGGUAUGGAACAGAAGACAAACCAAAAUUAAGAGACUAUUCUAUUGUCACCAACCUCAUAAUCCUUUGGUUGUGUUUUGACUCUUUAGAACUUUUCUUAAGGUAUAAAUAUUAUCUCA
Molecule: non-coding RNA, 680 nt
Organism: Peromyscus maniculatus bairdii (prairie deer mouse)
Lineage: Eukaryota; Metazoa; Chordata; Mammalia; Rodentia; Cricetidae
Source: RefSeq, a predicted model, not a curated record